Molecule: ribosomal RNA, 309 nt
Filed under: uncultured Treponema sp.
Lineage: Bacteria; Pseudomonadati; Spirochaetota; Spirochaetia; Treponematales; Treponemataceae
Description: bacterial SSU rRNA
Rfam family: Bacterial small subunit ribosomal RNA
Source: RNAcentral
CUAAGAAUAUUCCGCAAUGGACGAAAGUCUGACGGAGCGACGCCGCGUGGAUGAUGAAGGCCGGAAGGUUGUAAAAUCCUUUUAAGUAUGAGGAAUAAGCAGUGUGAGAGAAACGCAUUGUGGUGACUGUAGUACUUGAAUAAGCAACGGCUAAUUACGUGCCAGCAGCCGCGGUAACACGUAAGGUGCGAGCGUUGUUCGGAAUCAUUGGGCGUAAAGGGCAUGUAGGCGGUCUGUCAAGCCAGGCGUGAAAGCCAGGGGCUCAACCCCUGAACUGCGCUUGGAACUGGCGGACUGGAGUCGCUGAGG